RNA transcript from Ostrea edulis (European flat oyster), 2198 nucleotides. It is a transcript of the gene named DNA mismatch repair protein Mlh1-like, with no coding region annotated. The record is from RefSeq and is a predicted model, not a curated record. The transcript has 20 exons. NCBI's taxonomy places the organism in Eukaryota, Metazoa, Mollusca, Bivalvia, Ostreida, Ostreidae.
AGGAGACAGAUCAUGGCCACAGCUUCAGGCACUAUCAGACGGCUGGACGAAGUGGUGGUCAAUCGUAUAGCAGCUGGGGAGGUCAUUCAGCGUCCGGCCAAUGCUCUCAAGGAAAUGAUUGAAAACAGUCUGGAUGCCAAGUCCUCAAACAUCCAGGUGACUGUGAAGCAGGGUGGACUAAAGCUACUCCAAAUUCAAGACAACGGAACAGGGAUCAGGAAAGAAGAUAUGGAGAUUGUUUGUGAAAGAUUUACAACCAGUAAACUCCAGAAGUUUGAGGAUCUUAACUCCAUUGCCACCUAUGGAUUUCGUGGAGAAGCCCUGGCGAGCAUUAGUCAUGUGGCACAUGUAACCAUAACAACCAAAACUGCGGAUUCAAAAUGUGCCUUCAAAGGGAACUAUGUAGAUGGGAAAUUGAAGGAAGCAGUGAAACCUUGUGCUGGAAAUGUGGGGACUCAAAUUACUGUAGAAGAUUUGUUUUACAACAUAUCCACCAGGAGGAAGGCUUUAAAGAGUCCAUCCGAGGAGCAUGCCAAGGUCGCGGAGGUCGUCAGCAGGUAUGCAGUUCAUAAUUGCAGUGUUGGAUUUACCCUGAAAAAGCAAGGGGAGAACACUACCGACAUCCGAACACAAUCGAAAUCUACCCACGUGGACAACAUAAGAACUAUAUAUGGACCAAGUGUUGCCAAAGAACUACUAGAAAUUCAACACAAGGAUGAGAAAUUAUCCUUCAAGUGUCAUGGUUAUGUGAGCAAUGCUAAUUACUCAAUGAAGAAGUGUAUCUUCCUGCUGUUUAUUAACCAUCGCUUGGUAGAUUCUUCAUCUCUACGUAAAGCUGUGGACUCAGUCUUCCAGGCAUAUCUUCCUAAAAACAUGCAUCCCUUUGCGUAUCUUAGUUUGGAGAUUGCUCCUCAAAAUGUGGACGUCAAUGUCCACCCUACGAAGCACGAAGUACACUUCCUCCACGAAGAGGCGAUUAUUUCCAGCAUUCAGUCCGCUGUGGAGGCCAAACUUCUAGGUGCCAACACAAGCAGGACGUACUAUACGCAGGCAUUGUUACCAGGAGCACCCAUAUCUCUAGACAGCAAAGACGAGGAUUCAAAGUCAUCUAAAUCAUGUGGAGGCCCAGAAAAAACAUAUGCACACCACAUGGUGAGGACAGACAGUAAGGAACAGAAGCUGGAGGCCUUCAUCAAGCCGGUCAACUCCACAGAUCUGACGGAGAUCCUCAAAAACGCCACCCAUCCUGACAACGCUCCAGCAAAAACCUCCACUGACGGUGACGUGAUGGUGUUACCCAGUUGUGGAGCCCAGCAGAAGAGGAGGCCUGUGAAGCUCACCAGUGUAUUAACACUUCAGGAAGAGAUCAAAGAAAACCUGCAUAAAAAUCUGAGAGAAAUGUUCCAAUUUCACAAAUUUGUGGGCUGUGUCAAUGAAGAGUUUUCCUUGAUGCAACACCAGACAAAACUGUACUUGGUUAACACGACCAAAUUAAGCCGUGAACUUUUCUACCAGCUGAUGGUAUUUGACUUUGGAAACUUUGGACUACUGCGGCUUUCAGAGCCAGCCCCCAUAUAUGACCUUGCCAUGCUUGCCCUUGACCUAGAAGAGAGUGGAUGGACUGAGGCAGAUGGACCCAAACACGACCUUGCUCAAUAUAUUGUUGAUUUUUUGAAAACGAAAUCUGAGAUGUUAACCGAUUACUUCAGUAUAGAAAUUGACCAGGAUGGUAAUGUGUGCACGCUGCCUUUGUUGUUGGAUAACUAUGUUCCCAACAUGGAGGGGCUUCCCAUGUACCUCCUGAGGCUGGCUACAGAGGUGGAUUGGGACACGGAGAAGGGGUGUUUUCACACGUUCUGUAGGGAGACCAGUGAGUUCUACUGCUUCAAGCCCAGCUUAUUUCAGGACCAGAAAAAAGACUCAACAGAUCCACAGUAGGGCACUGGCUCCAUCUGAUCCCGUGAUAACAGCUUGUGUGUAUAACAGCAGUUACCUUGACAAUGGAGUAUAUGUGAAGAAGAAAGCGGAUCCAAAAAAUCAUGGAAAUGGGUUGUGGAACAUGUUUUAUUUAGUGCAUUCCGGAACCUUUUGUUCCCACCCAAGACUUUUGCGGAGGAUUCCAGUAUUUUACAGAUUGCCAAUUUACCUGAUUUAUACAAAGUAUUUGAAAGAUGUUAAUAAAAUCAUGAUAUACCUCA